Molecule: ribosomal RNA, 492 nt
Filed under: uncultured bacterium
Lineage: Bacteria
Description: partial 16S ribosomal RNA
Rfam family: Bacterial small subunit ribosomal RNA
Source: RNAcentral
AGUGAACGCUGGCGGUAGGCCUAACACAUGCAAGUCGAACGGCAGCACAGUAAGAGCUUGCUCUUACGGGUGGCGAGUGGCGGACGGGUGAGGAAUACAUCGGAAUCUACUUUUUCGGGGGGGAUAACGUAGGGAAACUUACGCUAAUACCGCAUACGACCUACGGGUGAAAGCAGGGGAUCUUCGGACCUUGCGCGAUUGUAUGAGCCGAUGUCGGAUUAGCUAGUUGGCGGGGUAAAGGCCCACCAAGGCGACGAUCCGUAGCUGGUCUGAGAGGAUGAUCAGCCACACUGGAACUGAGACACGGUCCAGACUCCUACGGGAGGCAGCAGUGGGGAAUAUUGGACAAUGGGCGCAAGCCUGAUCCAGCCAUACCGCGUGGGUGAAGAAGGCCUUCGGGUUGUAAAGCCCUUUUGUUGGGAAAGAAAAGCAGCAGGUUAAUACCCCGCUGUUCUGACGGUACCCAAAGAAUAAGCACCGGCUAACUUCGUG